AGAGUUUGAUCCUGGCUCAGGACGAACGCUGGCGGCGUGCUUAACACAUGCAAGUCGAACGAUGAUCCGGUGCUUGCACCGGGGAUUAGUGGCGAACGGGUGAGUAACACGUGAGUAACCUGCCCUUGACUCUGGGAUAAGCCUGGGAAACCGGGUCUAAUACCGGAUACGACCUUUCACCGCAUGGUGGUUGGUGGAAAGAUUUUUUGGUUUUGGAUGGACUCGCGGCCUAUCAGCUUGUUGGUGAGGUAAUGGCUCACCAAGGCGACGACGGGUAGCCGGCCUGAGAGGGUGACCGGCCACACUGGGACUGAGACACGGCCCAGACUCCUACGGGAGGCAGCAGUGGGGAAUAUUGCACAAUGGGCGAAAGCCUGAUGCAGCGACGCCGCGUGAGGGAUGACGGCCUUCGGGUUGUAAACCUCUUUCAGCAGGGAAGAAGCGAAAGUGACGGUACCUGCAGAAGAAGCGCCGGCUAACUACGUGCCAGCAGCCGCGGUAAUACGUAGGGCGCAAGCGUUGUCCGGAAUUAUUGGGCGUAAAGAGCUCGUAGGCGGUUUGUCGCGUCUGCUGUGAAAGCCCGGGGCUCAACCCCGGGUCUGCAGUGGGUACGGGCAGACUAGAGUGCAGUAGGGGAGACUGGAAUUCCUGGUGUAGCGGUGAAAUGCGCAGAUAUCAGGAGGAACACCGAUGGCGAAGGCAGGUCUCUGGGCUGUAACUGACGCUAAGGAGCGAAAGCAUGGGGAGCGAACAGGAUUAGAUACCCUGAUAGUCCAUGCCGUAAACGUUGGGCACUAGGUGUGGGGGACAUUCCACGUUUUCCGCGCCGUAGCUAACGCAUUAAGUGCCCCGCCUGGGGAGUACGGCCGCAAGGCUAAAACUCAAAUGAAUUGACGG
RNAcentral lists this ribosomal RNA (897 nucleotides) under uncultured bacterium. Its description in RNAcentral is "bacterial SSU rRNA". It matches the Rfam family "Bacterial small subunit ribosomal RNA", at positions 8 to 916 of the family's 1533-position model. The record is from RNAcentral.